RNAcentral lists this long non-coding RNA (5364 nucleotides) under Phaseolus vulgaris (common bean). RNAcentral describes it as "long non-coding RNA (PVUL_LNC004524)". Lineage: Eukaryota; Viridiplantae; Streptophyta; Magnoliopsida; Fabales; Fabaceae. The record is from RNAcentral.
AGAGCUUGGUUUUAGUGUGUUUCCGAUAUCAAUCACAAAUCUAUAUUUUACGUCUGCUUUGAGGAGACGCUCCAUUGCAGUGUUGACAUAAUCAAUAGGAAUGAUCUCAAUGUCUGGUUUUACAUUGUGUAACACAGCAAAGUCCAUUAUCUCUUGGGUCUCCUUCAUCCCUCCUAUCUUACUCCCAGCCACUAUCUUUCUCCCUGUCAAUAGUUUUAAAUACUUGUUAGCAUCAAAAUGAUGUAUUAAAUUUUUAUGCAUGCAUCUGAAGUUUGCACUAAACAACAUAUCCUUUUUGUAGAAUCACAUGUUUUCGUGCUCUGCAUCCAUGGGAAAUAUAAUAUAUAAAUUUUCAUAUGCUUACCUAAAAUUAGUGAAAUAAUAGAAAGCUCCAAAGGUUUCUCUGGUGCACCCACAGCUACAAGCUUUCCAUGAGACUUAAGCAAACCAAUGAGAGGUAAGAGAGGAUGAACGGCAGAAACCGUAUCAAUAAUACCAUCCAAAGUACCAUUUGCAGCCUGAAAAGUAAUCAACACUAGUUAAUUGAGAGAGAGAGACAUGUGUUUUUUAGUACAGUUCAUAUUAGUGCAUGGCCUAAUAAUAUGUACCUGCAUCUGAUCUGGGUCACGGCUUAUGAUAAAGGAGUCAGCUCCUAGAUGUUGCAUUGCUUCUUUCUUUUUGUUGGGUGAUGUACUUAUUACCGUGACCUUAGCCCCAAAAGCUUUGGCAAACUUCACAGCCAUAUGGCCAAGUCCACCGAGACCAACCACACCCACAUUUAGACCAGGCUUAUCAAGUGCAAAAUAUCUGAGAGGGCUAAACACUGUGAUCCCUGCACAUAGGAGAGGUGCAGCAGCUUCAAGUGGUAAGCCAUCAGGAAUGCGAAUCACAAAAUGUUCAUCCACAACCAUUGAGUCAGAGAAGCCUCCAUAUGUGAUGGUGCCAUCUCUAUAUUUGGCACUAUAUGUGAGAGUGUAUUGUGGACAAUAAUUCUCAAGAUUGUCAACACAGUUUAGGCAGGUGUGACAGGAAUCAACCAUGCAUCCUACUCCCACCUUGUCUCCAACUUUGAACUUUACCACUUUACUUCCCACCUCUGUCACCACACCAGCUAUCUCGUGCCUGAAAUAUAUUUAGCACUAAUUAGAAUCAAAUUAAAUUUGUCCUUUAAUACUACAGUUCAAUGUUCGUAAGAGUAGCCUGGUGGCUAGUGAACCAUCUAAGUAGUUCAUUCUGCUUCACAUCAAGAAUUUCUACUGUUCUUAGAUAGUAAAUAGAAAAACCAAAACUGUUUUUUCUUUUAUCGUACAGGUAUCACCCUGAUAUAGAACUAAAACAAUAAUUGGUAUUAAAGUAUGAUGUAUACCCUGGGACUAAUGGAUAGGUGGAAGUGCCCCAUUCGUUCUUGGCAAAGUGAAGGUCCGAGUGGCAUAUUCCACAGUACAACACUUUGAAUGCCACAUCUUUUUCACCUGUUUCUCUGAUAAACAUUCAGAAAGCAAAACUGAAUUAAUUGGGUGCAAGUAAACUUUGUUCUUAACAAUUUUUUUAGUCAGUAUCAAUGUGUUUUUAGUAUAUAUAAUAUAUAUGUAGUUUUCAAUUAUAAAUACGUAGUAUGGAUCUGGAAAGAUCAGAUAACUCGUUUCAUCAUAAUGUUGUUCAUAUUUUGUUGUUUUGAAAGGUGGUCUAAUAAAUAAUUGAAAAGGGAUGAACCUUCUGGAGAAAUGGAAAGGUGUGAGAAGGCCAGAAGGGUCCCUAGCUGCCCAUCCGAAUGCUUUCCUUGGAUGCUCAGUUUCUGCCAUUUCAAUCUGUUAAAAUAUUUGGAUGAUAAAAGAAAACCAAAAUAGACUUUUUAAGGAAGAGAAUGUGGAAGCGUGUCUUUGUCUUUGGGUAAGACUGCAGUUGAGAGAAAGAGGAAUUUAUAAGUGGGAAGGGAAUUGUAGAGGGUUAGAUUGACGUCUUUGGUGACGUCUUUCACGUCUCAGGUGACAAUGUUGCUUACUUCAGAAUGCAUUUCUUAGUACAAAAAUUAUACUUUUACAUUCACCCAGAAAAGUAAUUCAAUUGAGAACUACUUUAAUAAUAAUAAUAUAGAAUGCAGAGAAUUCAUUGAACAUGACUGUCGGAUCAACUAGUGAAGUCAAAAUUUUGAUUAGAUUUUUGAACAUGAUUGAUAUUUAGUCAUCAUUUCAUCCUCCCAAACGCAUUUUCUUAUACUUUAAUGAUAUAUAAUACAGAGAAUUCAUUGAACAUGAUUGUUAGAUCAACUAUUCAAGUCAAAAUUUGAUAAGAUUUUUGAACAUGAUGAUGGAUGUUAGUGGUCAUCAUUCGAUCCUCCAUUCAAUUCAAGAGUGAAAGUGUUAGAUCCUCCUGAAGAGUUCAUAUAGUAAAGAGUUCAUAUAGGGGCCUAAAGUCAUUUAGGCUAUCUUUGAAUUGGGGAGGGGAUUUGAGGGAGUGAAUUUGAGAUUAUUUGAAGAGAAAGUGUGAAGAAAGUGAGGUUGUUUGGAUUAAGGUAAAUAUAGUGGAAAGUGUAGAGAAAGUUUAUGAAAGUUUGUGAGUGAUAUGAUGGAUGUGAUUAGAAAUGUAUUUUUUUUAAUUAAAAAUAUGUAAAUUUACAAAUUUAUCCUUGAAUUUGAAAAUUAUUGAAAAUUAAUUUGUUUUAUUUUUUUAAAAUUAUAAUUAUUUUUUAAUUAAAAUAUUAUAUUAUUUUUUAAUAAUUAUUAAUUUCUAUUUUUAUUUUUAUUUUUUAGGUUUAAAUUUUAAUUUUAAUUUACAUAAACAUUAUUAUAAUUUGAGAUUAAAAUAAAAAGGGUAAUAAAGUAAAUUACAAAUAACUAAUUAUAUUUAUACAUAUAUAUUCAUCUUUCCUUACAAAUCCGUUCUUAGUUACGAAGAAAGUUUGAGAGUGAAAAGUGUUCUCGAUUUUCGUGUUUUAUCUAUUUUAUUCUUUCGGUAACCGUGCUUUCUUCGUGCACAGUAAAUGCUCUCCUUUCAUUGCAUGGAAACAAACAUAGCAGUGUUUGAAUUUAGGAGUAAAAUUGUGAGGAUUUAAGAAGAAAGUAUGAGAAAAGUUUAUGUAUUUGGGUUUAGGUAUUUUAGAAUAAAUGUGUGAAAAAAGUUUAUUAAACUGUGUGAGGUUGUUAGGAUAUUUAAAAUUAUUUUUAAAAAUGUAAAGUAUAAGUUUAAAAAUUUACUAUUAUCUUUAAAAAUAUUUAAAUAAUGAAAUAUAAAGUAUUUUGUGUAGACUUGAUUUAAUUAAAUUUUAUAAAUUAUUUCUCGUACGGUUGAAUAAUUAUCUUUUUUUAAAAUAUGAGUUUUUUAAAAUAUGAGUUUUAGAACACGAAAUUUUUUCAUGGUGAGUAAUGUGAUGAGUGUUAUUAAAAUUUUAAUUUUUUAGUUAAUAAAAAAUUAAAAUUACAAAUUUAUUCUUAUAUUUAAAAAAUAAUUAAUUUAUAUAUUUAUUUUUUAUAAUUAAUAAUAACAUUAUUAUAAUUUUAUUAUUAUUAUUAUUAUUAAUAUUAUUAAAUAUUUGUUACAAAUUAAAUUAAAUUAAAUUAAUAAUUAUUAAUAAUAAUAUUUAAUAAAUUUAUAUAAUAAUUAUUAAUUUAUUUAAUUUAUAUUUAUUAUCAUUAAUUUAUAUAAAUAAUUAUAUAUAUUUAUUAUUAUUAAAUUUUAAUAUUUAUUUUUAUUAAUAAUAUUAUUAAAUAUUAUUAUUAUUUUAUUAUAUUAUAUAUAAUAAUAAUAAAUAAUUCAAUGUAUUUUAAAAUUAAUUUAAUAUUUAAAUUAUAAAUUAUAAAUAAAAUUAUUAUAUUUAUAAAAAUUUGAAUAAUAAUAUAAAUAAUUUAUUUUAUAUAUUUUUUUAUAUAAAUUUUUGUGUGUUAGAAAUCGCUAUACAAUUUGAAAUAAAAACAUUUUAAAAAAAUAUACAUACAAACAGAAAUAACAAUAGUAUAAGUUUGAGGAUAAAUGAGACUUUUCGAAAUAAAUCACCCAAUUUCAUAAUUUUUCAAAAAAUAAAAUUGAUGUGUUAAAUUACAAAUGGAUCACAUGUAACAUCUCAAUAUGAUGAUACUUGAAAUUGUUUGAUAAUUUUUUCAUAUAUAAUAUUUGGUAUAGUUCAGAUUUUCAUUAUUUAAUCUUAUAUUUGUACAACAGUUUGUUAGAUCUUAUAAUUGUAGAUUAAUUUUCUCUUCUGAGUUUUGUCAAAUUCAAGAGAAGAGAAGACUAUAUGUGCUGCACACUCCAAAACAAGAAACAAAGAUUAGUUAACACAAAAAAAUAGUUGUCGAAAAUGAAAAGGAGGCUAAAAGCAUUUGGGACCUUACAUUGGGACAUCCGUCGGGUAAAGCAUUUGGGACCCUAAAGUCUUACCACAUUCUUCUUUUUAUUUUUCAAUCCAUGAGAAGUUCCAUUUUCCAACUUACUUCUUUAUUUUUUUUGUAUUUUUCAUCUUCUUUUUAUUUUAGAGUAUUUAAAUUUAAUAAUUAAAAAAUUGUACAAUAUUUUAAAAUUAUCAUAAAAUUAAUAAUAAAAUUAUUGUUUUGUGUUUUAUUUAAUGAUCAUUUUUAAAUUUUUGAAAAAAAAUCCAUAUCUUUAUUUUAUAUAUUAAAUACUAUUAAAAAUAAGAAUUUCUAAUAGAAAUUAUUUAAAAAAAAUAAUCAUGUUUAAACAUUACAUUUUUUUUACUGAUUUAUGACUUUGUUAAAUUUAUUGAUUUCUUGAUUUUUACUAUAACUGAUUUAUUAUUUUUACUAUAAUUAUAGUUAAACAUUCCAAAAUUUAUAUUAAUUUCUAGUAAUCUGCGAGGGUGACGGGUGGACAACUUUGGAUAUAUAGUUCAUUGGGAGGAGAUUAUAAAGUAGGUAAUGUCCAUAUUGAAGCUUUUUUAUAUGGAUUAUAUUAUAUUACAACUCCUUAUUUAUUAUAUUAUUUGUUGCAUAUAAAAGAAAUAUACGGUCAAAAUCAUGUUAAUCAAGAUAUAUAACAGUAUUUUCGCCACACUGCGUGUGAAGUUCUUAUUUUUUCAUUAUUGUUGUAAUCAAUAUUACAAAAAUACAUAUUGAAAUAAGUAAACAUUUAAAAAAAAAGGCAACAGUGGCUGAAAACUAUCACAUUUGUCACUUAGUAUCUUUGACAUAUACUAGAAUGGCAAAAGAUUCAAGAACUUGGUUUUAGUGUGUUUCCGAUGUCAAUCACAAAUCUAUAUUUUACAUCUGCUUUGAGUAGACGCUCCAUUGCAGUGUUGACAUAAUCAAUAGGAAUGAUCUCAAUGUCUGGUUUUACAUUGUGCUUCGCAGCAAAGUCCAUCAUCUCUUGGGUCUCCUUCAUUCCUCCAAUCCCACUCCCUGCCACUAUCUUUCUCCC